Molecule: ribosomal RNA, 254 nt
Filed under: uncultured prokaryote
Description: partial 16S ribosomal RNA
Rfam family: Bacterial small subunit ribosomal RNA
Source: RNAcentral
UACGGGGGGAGCAAGCGUUGUUCGGAUUUACUGGGCGUAAAGGGCGCGUAGGCGGCCUCCGCAAGUCAAUUGUGAAAUCUCCGGGCUUAACUCGGAAAGGUCAACUGAUACUGCGGGGCUAGAGUGCGGAAGGGGCAACUGGAAUUCUUGGUGUAGCGGUGAAAUGCGUAGAUAUCAAGUGGAACACCAGUGGCGAAGGCGAGUCCCUGGACAAGACCUGACACUGAGGCACGAAAGCCAGGGGAGCAAACAGG